RNAcentral lists this ribosomal RNA (492 nucleotides) under uncultured bacterium. RNAcentral's name for it is "partial 16S ribosomal RNA". It matches the Rfam family "Bacterial small subunit ribosomal RNA", at positions 29 to 507 of the family's 1533-position model. The record is from RNAcentral.
AGUGAACGCUGGCGGUAGGCCUAACACAUGCAAGUCGAACGGCAGCACAGUAAGAGCUUGCUCUUACGGGUGGCGAGUGGCGGACGGGUGAGGAAUACAUCGGAAUCUACUUUUUCGUGGGGGAUAACGUAGGGAAACUUACGCUAAUACCGCAUACGACCUACGGGUGAAAGCAGGGGAUCUUCGGACCUUGCGCGAUUGAAUGAGCCGAUGUCGGAUUAGCUAGUUGGCGGGGUAAAGGCCCACCAAGGCGACGAUCCGUAGCUGGUCUGAGAGGAUGAUCGGCCACACUGGAACUGAGACACGGUCCAGACUCCUACGGGAGGCAGCAGUGGGGAAUAUUGGACAAUGGGCGCAAGCCUGAUCCAGCCAUACCGCGUGGGUGAAGAAGGCCUUCGGGUUGUAAAGCCCUUUUGUUGGGAAAGAAAAGCAGCAGGUUAAUACCCCGCUGUUCUGACGGUGCCCAAAGAAUAAGCACCGGCUAACUUCGUG